GUCCACGCCAUAAACGAUGAAUACUAGCUGUCUGGCGCAUAAAAGUGCUGGGUAGCGAAGCUAACGCGAUAAGUAUUCCGCCUGGGGAGUACGGCCGCAAGGUUAAAACUCAAAGGAAUUGACGGGGGCCCCGCACAAGCGGUGGAGCAUGUGGUUUAAUUCGAUGCAACGCGAAGAACCUUACCUACUCUUGACAUCCUUGGAAGUUCGCAGAGAUGUGAAUGUGCCGAAAGGAACCAAGUGACAGGUGCUGCAUGGCUGUCGU
Molecule: ribosomal RNA, 265 nt
Filed under: uncultured bacterium
Lineage: Bacteria
Description: partial 16S ribosomal RNA
Rfam family: Bacterial small subunit ribosomal RNA
Source: RNAcentral